CUUCAGGUAACCAGGAACCGUACCCCAAACCGACACAGGUGGUCGGGUAGAGAAUACCAAGGCGCUUGAGAGAACUCGGGUGAAGGAACUAGGCAAAAUGGCACCGUAACUUCGGGAGAAGGUGCGCCGGCUAGGGUGAAGGAUUUACUCCGUAAGCUCUGGCUGGUCGAAGAUACCAGGCCGCUGCGACUGUUUAUUAAAAACACAGCACUCUGCAAACACGAAAGUGGACGUAUAGGGUGUGACGCCUGCCCGGUGCCGGAAGGUUAAUUGAUGGGGUUAGCGCAAGCGAAGCUCUUGAUCGAAGCCCCGGUAAACGGCGGCUGUAACUAUAACGGUCCUAAGGUAGCGAAAUUCCUUGUCGGGUAAGUUCCGACCUGCACGAAUGGCGUAACGAUGGCGGCGCUGUCUCCACCCGAGACUCAGUGAAAUUGAAAUCGCUGUGAAGAUGCAGUGUAUCCGCGGCUAGACGGAAAGACCCCGUGAACCUUUACUGUAGCUUUGCACUGGACUUUGAGCCUGCUUGUGUAGGAUAGGUGGGAGGCUUUGAAGCGUGGACGCCAGUUCGCGUGGAGCCAUCCUUGAAAUACCACCCUGGCAUGCUUGAGGUUCUAACUCUGGUCCGUAAUCCGGAUCGAGGACAGUGUAUGGUGGGCAGUUUGACUGGGGCGGUCUCCUCCUAAAGAGUAACGGAGGAGUACGAAGGUGCGCUCAGACCGGUCGGAAAUCGGUCGCAGAGUAUAAAGGCAAAAGCGCGCUUGACUGCGAGACAGACACGUCGAGCAGGUACGAAAGUAGGUCUUAGUGAUCCGGUGGUUCUGUAUGGAAGGGCCAUCGCUCAACGGAUAAAAGGUACUCCGGGGAUAACAGGCUGAUACCGCCCAAGAGUUCAUAUCGACGGCGGUGUUUGGCACCUCGAUGUCGGCUCAUCACAUCCUGGGGCUGAAGCCGGUCCCAAGGGUAUGGCUGUUCGCCAUUUAAAGUGGUACGCGAGCUGGGUUUAGAACGUCGUGAGACAGUUCGGUCCCUAUCUGCCGUGGACGUUUGAGAUUUGAGAGGGGCUGCUCCUAGUACGAGAGGACCGGAGUGGACGAACCUCUGGUGUUCCGGUUGUCACGCCAGUGGCAUUGCCGGGUAGCUAUGUUCGGAAAAGAUAACCGCUGAAAGCAUCUAAGCGGGAAACUUGCCUCAAGAUGAGAUCUCACUGGGAACUUGAUUCCCUUGAAGGGCCGUCGAAGACUACGACGUUGAUAGGCUGGGUGUGUAAGCGUUGUGAGGCGUUGAGCUAACCAGUACUAAUUGCCCGU
Molecule: ribosomal RNA, 1307 nt
Filed under: metagenome
Description: bacterial LSU rRNA
Rfam family: Bacterial large subunit ribosomal RNA
Source: RNAcentral